UACGAAGGGGGCUAGCGUUGUUCGGAAUUACUGGGCGUAAAGCGUAUGCAGGCGGAUCGUUAAGUCGGGGGUGAAAUCCCGAGGCUCAACCUCGGAACUGCCUUCGAUACUGGCGACCUUCGAGUCCGGGAGAGGUGAGUGGAACUCCGAGUGUAGAGGUGAAAUUCGUAGAUAUUCGGAAGAACACCAGUGGCGAAGGCGGCUCACUGGCCCGGUACUGACGCUGAGAUGCGAAAGCGUGGGGAGCAAACAGG
RNAcentral lists this ribosomal RNA (254 nucleotides) under uncultured bacterium. Its description in RNAcentral is "partial 16S ribosomal RNA". It matches the Rfam family "Bacterial small subunit ribosomal RNA", at positions 524 to 776 of the family's 1533-position model. The record is from RNAcentral.